UUUGAUGGCGACCGGCGCACGGGUGAGUAACACGUAUCCAACCUGCCGAUGACUCGGGGAUAGCCUUUCGAAAGAAAGAUUAAUACCCGAUGGCAUAGUUCUUCCGCAUGGUAGAACUAUUAAAGAAUUUCGGUCAUCGAUGGGGAUGCGUUCCAUUAGAUAGUUGGCGGGGUAACGGCCCACCAAGUCAACGAUGGAUAGGGGUUCUGAGAGGAAGGUCCCCCACAUUGGAACUGAGACACGGUCCAAACUCCUACGGGAGGCAGCAUG
This 270-nucleotide ribosomal RNA is filed under the name uncultured bacterium. RNAcentral's name for it is "partial 16S ribosomal RNA". It matches the Rfam family "Bacterial small subunit ribosomal RNA", at positions 84 to 353 of the family's 1533-position model. The record is from RNAcentral.